RNAcentral lists this unclassified non-coding RNA (926 nucleotides) under Hevea brasiliensis (rubber tree). Lineage: Eukaryota; Viridiplantae; Streptophyta; Magnoliopsida; Malpighiales; Euphorbiaceae. The record is from RNAcentral.
CUUAAAGCAAACAUUUAACAAAGGCUUCUGGUACUUGCAGCCUCAGCCACAGCUGCAAAAUAAAGAUUCCAGGCCCAUGAUGAUGAUAUUUUCUUAGCUUCUUCCAUGAAGACAGCCACCACUUGGCUCAAGGCUCUUAUACCAUGCAUUAUGAGCAAUAAGGGUCCUAGUGAUGAUAAUGACCCUUUAAUCAAGCACCAUCCAAAUGCUCUUAUACCAUCUCUAGUCCAGAUUUUCCAGGAAAAUCUAAAGAUCUCUCUGUUAUCCCUUCCCCAAGACUCUUCCGAACCCAUUUGCAUACACAACGCCCCCAGAUUCUAUAAAGAACUCCACCUGCAAGAUUGUAUACAUCACUCGAGACCCUAAGGACACAUUUUUGUCCCUGUGGCACUUCAUGAACACCAAGACCAGGCCAGAGGAAGAAGAAGAAGAAGCAGAACACCCUUAAAAUGAAGCAUUUGAGAGCUUUUCCAAAGGGAUUCAUCCCUUUGGUCUUUUCCAUGAUCAGUGUUGGGGUAUUGGAGUAUUAAGAGAUGACGAGAGACCCAAGAGGGCAAGUGCACAAACUUGCAUCCUUUCUUGGAAGGCCUCUUGGUAAGGAAGCAGAUGUUGACAAUGUAUUGUGGAGGUGUAGCUUUGGAAGGCUUAAGAACUUGGAGGUGAACAAAGAUGGGAUGUAUACUAGAGUUGGGUUUGCCCAUAGCUCUUAUUUUAGACUUGGCUUGGUUGGGGAUUGGAAGAACCACUUAUCAAUGAAGAUGAAAGAGAGACUUGACAAAAUAACAAGAACAAAACUAGAGGGAUCUGGUUUAGAUCUUUAAUUAAAAUUCUUCUUCUUGCGCUUUUCAACUUGAUGUAUGCAUAGAUUAGGGAAGAGACUAAAUAAAUGUUAGCUUAUCCUUCUUAGGAGAUUAAAUUCGAUGGUG